GAUGAACGCUGACAGAAUGCUUAACACAUGCAAGUCGAUGGGGAAGUGGUGCUUGCACCAUGGCAACCAUGGCGGACGGGUGAGUAACGCGUAAGGGACUUACCUGCAGGACUGGGAUAACAGGGGGAAACUCCUGACAAGACCGGAUAAUGUCAUGGAGCUGCAUGGCUUUAUGAUGAAAGGAGACGCCUGCGGAGAGCCUUGCGUCCUAUUAGCUAGUUGGUGAGGUAAUGGCUCACCAAGGCGAAGAUAGGUAGCCGGCCUGAGAGGGUGGACGGCCACAAGGGGACUGAGAUACGGCCCUUACUCCUACGGGAGGCAGCAGUGGGGAAUAUUGGACAAUGGGGGCAACCCUGAUCCAGCAAUUCUGUGUGCACGAAGAAGGUUUUCGGAUUGUAAAGUGCUUUCAGCAGGGAAGAAGUAAGUGACGGUACCUGCGGAAGAAGCGACGGCUAAAUACGUG
Molecule: ribosomal RNA, 463 nt
Filed under: uncultured bacterium
Lineage: Bacteria
Description: partial 16S ribosomal RNA
Rfam family: Bacterial small subunit ribosomal RNA
Source: RNAcentral